Molecule: unclassified non-coding RNA, 307 nt
Filed under: plant metagenome
Description: partial contains 5.8S ribosomal RNA, internal transcribed spacer 2, and large subunit ribosomal RNA
Rfam family: 5.8S ribosomal RNA (bases 1-105)
Source: RNAcentral
GAAAUGCGAUAAGUAAUGUGAAUUGCAGAAUUCAGUGAAUCAUCGAAUCUUUGAACGCACAUUGCGCCCGCCAGCACUCUGGCGGGCAUGCCUGUUCGAGCGUCAUUUCAACCCUCAGAACCCCUUGCGGGAUCUGGCGUUGGGGAUUGGCAUCCAGCCAGCCCCGAAAUCUAGUGGCGGUCCCUCCGCGACCUCCCCUGUGCAGUAGCGAUACCUCGCAGCGGGACAGCGGUCUGACCACGCCGUAAAACCCCCAACUUCUCAAGGUUGACCUCGAAUCAGGUAGGAAUACCCGGUGAACUUAAGC